Molecule: long non-coding RNA, 277 nt
Organism: Sander lucioperca (pikeperch)
Lineage: Eukaryota; Metazoa; Chordata; Actinopteri; Perciformes; Percidae
Exons: 3
Source: RefSeq, a predicted model, not a curated record
GUUUGGGUUCCCUCCUUUUUCUUUUCCUCCGAGGCGGGAGACCACUUCUGGAAACGCUUAAGCGAUUGAAUAUGGAUGACUUUGUUAAACUAAAGUUACCAGAAUGGCAACUUCCGGAGCUGAUGGACCAUUUUGCAGGCUCCAGAGACUACAUUUCCCUGAUGGUUCUGCCAAGCCUGAUGCCACCUGCAGUCUUCAGGAUGGGCCUGAAAGACCGUGAGGUCUACAGCGUCUGACGCCAUGAAGGCCUUCAUCGAUCUUAAGCCUGUGAGUAUUC